GGGCCCAUGGUGAAGUUGGGAUCAUAUGUCCAUGGCAUGGAUAAGUCACCAGUUCGACUCUGGUUGGGUCCACCA
RNAcentral lists this transfer RNA (75 nucleotides) under Pseudobdellovibrionaceae bacterium. RNAcentral's name for it is "tRNA-Ala". It matches the Rfam family "tRNA". Rfam says of the family: Transfer RNA (tRNA) molecules are approximately 80 nucleotides in length. Their secondary structure includes four short double-helical elements and three loops (D, anti-codon, and T loops). Further hydrogen bonds mediate the characteristic L-shaped molecular structure. tRNAs have two regions of fundamental functional importance: the anti-codon, which is responsible for specific mRNA codon recognition, and the 3' end, to which the tRNAs corresponding amino acid is attached (by aminoacyl-tRNA synthetases). tRNAs cope with the degeneracy of the genetic code in two manners: having more than one tRNA (with a specific anti-codon) for a particular amino acid; and 'wobble' base-pairing, i.e. permitting non-standard base-pairing at the 3rd anti-codon position. RNAcentral also lists the same sequence under 1 other name. The record is from RNAcentral. Lineage: Bacteria; Pseudomonadati; Bdellovibrionota; Bdellovibrionia; Bdellovibrionales; Pseudobdellovibrionaceae.